RNAcentral lists this long non-coding RNA (1085 nucleotides) under Drosophila guanche. The record is from RNAcentral. Lineage: Eukaryota; Metazoa; Arthropoda; Insecta; Diptera; Drosophilidae.
CAACAAUUUAAAACCCUGUCUAUAAGAAAAAGUCGGUUUGGUACCAAGCAGACAAAAAGUUAGAUUUGUUAUGACAUACAUACAGUUCGGAAAAGUUUUCUUCUGUGAUUUACCCGUUAACUUAUCGACUACCGGGUGAUAGACCAUACUCAUGUACAUACAUAUGAACAUCCAUUUAUAUAUACAUAUGCAUAUAUGUACAUGUAUUAUUUUGUGUAUGUAAAUGCAUAUGUACAAUUACCCUGCAAACAGUUUGGCGAUAUUACACUAGCGUAGUUCCGAGAAGUGUCUACAAAGUUAGAAGAUUCGAAGCGACUGCAGACGAUCGUUUGGCGAAAGCACUAACCAAAUAGUAUAGUAGAUUGUCAAUUUAAAGGAAGCGAAACGUCACCGCAGAAUUUGCGUCGCGAAGUCUCAGGCCUCUGCCAACGUCGCAGCUACAAGUAUUAGUGCGUGUAGAACACGCAGCUAAAAGUCUCAGCUACAUUUGCAUAAGUUCGUGUAGAGCACGCAGCCAGAAGUCCCAGCUACAUCUGCAUAAGUGCGUGUAGCCAAUGAUUUUUUAGCGCUCCAAACCGGUUUUGUCUUGAUUCACACGGACACUGCAAGUUAUGUAUGUGCUGGUGCGCUGACUUUCUGAAGUGCGAUGGAACGAAAAUUCGUUUUGAUGAUUUGAUUUUGCUUUCGGGGCUUGGCGUAUGAACCUCACCUACCUGUGCAGAAUGAGGGGUGGGGAUUGGUGGCCGCACCUUUGGGGGUUGGAAAAAACAAAUAUACCAAUAAAAGUUGUUAUUGUAUUUGAAUGCUGUAAUUUUUUUAAAUUCAGAUUUUAUACUGCUUUAUUCAAAAUUGUAUGCAUAUUAUGGAUAUAUAUGCAUUAUAUAUUGCUGCCGUCUUAUCAACAUUGUUACCAAAUCCAUAUUUUACAGACAAAUCGUUUCAGAUAAAUAUAAAAAUAUAUAUAUGUAAAUAAGCAUAAAUGUAAACACAUAUGUAUAUAUAUGUACAUACAUCUUUCCAAUUUCUGUUCUCGUCGUCGGUUAUGUUCUCGACUUCAUGUGCGCUUUAAUUGUGCACAAUUAAAU